GAACGAACGCUGGCGGCGUGGAUAAGACAUGCAAGUCGAACGGAAUUACUUUUGUAGCAAUACAGAAGUAAUUCAGUGGCGAACGGGUGCGUAACACGUGGGCAAUCUGCCGAGAAGUGGGGGAUAGCUCGCCGAAAGGCGAAUUAAUACCGCAUGUGGUGAGGGAAGACAUCUUCCUGAAUCCAAAGCCGGGGUAACCUGGCGCUUUUUGAGGAGCCCGCGGCCUAUCAGCUUGNGGUGAGGUAACGGCUCACCAAGGCUUUGACGGGUAGCUGGUCUGAGAGGACGACCAGUCACACUGGAACUGAGACACGGGUCUAGACACCUACGGGGUGGCAGCAGUCGAGAAUUUCUCUCAAUGGGGGAAACCCUGAAGGAGCGACGCCGCGUGGAGGA
This 396-nucleotide ribosomal RNA is filed under the name uncultured bacterium. RNAcentral's name for it is "bacterial SSU rRNA". It matches the Rfam family "Bacterial small subunit ribosomal RNA", at positions 27 to 408 of the family's 1533-position model. The record is from RNAcentral.